Molecule: long non-coding RNA, 468 nt
Organism: Oncorhynchus tshawytscha (Chinook salmon)
Lineage: Eukaryota; Metazoa; Chordata; Actinopteri; Salmoniformes; Salmonidae
Source: Ensembl
CCCAGUCCAAUAGGUUACCCCAGUAUAAUAUGUUACCCAGUCCAAUAGGUUACCCCAGUAUAAUAUGUUACCCAGUCCAAUAGGUUACCCCAGUCUAAUAUGUUACCCAGUCUAAUAGGUUACCCCAGUCUAAUAGGUUACCCCAGUCUAAUACGUAACCCCAGUCUAAUAUGUUACUCCAUUCUAAUAUGUUAACCCAGUCUAAUAGGUUACCCCAGUCUAAUAUGUUACCCAGUCUAAUAGGUUACUCCCGUCUAAUAAAUUACUCCAGUCUAAUAAGUUACCCAGUCAAAUAGGUUACCCCAGUCUAAUAUGUUACCCAGUCUAAUAGGUUACCCCCGUCUAAUAGAUUACCCCAGUCUAAUAGGUUACCCCAGUCUAAUAGGUUACCCCAGUCUAGUAGGUUACCCCAGUCUAAUAGGUUACCCCCGUCUAAUAGAUUACCCCAGUCUAAUAGAUUACCCCAGU